Molecule: ribosomal RNA, 424 nt
Filed under: uncultured bacterium
Lineage: Bacteria
Description: bacterial SSU rRNA
Rfam family: Bacterial small subunit ribosomal RNA
Source: RNAcentral
CAAGACCUUGCGCCGAUGGAUGAGCCGAAGUCGGAUUAGCUAGUUGGUAGGGUAACGGCCUACCAAGGCGACGAUCCGUAGCUGGUCUGAGAGGACGACCAGCCACACUGGGACUGAGACACGGCCCAGACUCCUACGGGAGGCAGCAGUGGGGAAUUUUGGACAAUGGGGGCAACCCUGAUCCAGCAAUGCCGCGUGUGUGAAGAAGGCCUUCGGGUUGUAAAGCACUUUUGUCAGGAACGAAACGGACUAGGCUAAUACCUUGGUCUAAUGACGGUACCUGAAGAAUAAGCACCGGCUAACUACGUGCCAGCAGCCGCGGUAAUACGUAGGGUGCAAGCGUUAAUCGGAAUUACUGGGCGUAAAGCGUGCGCAGGCGGUUUUGUAAGUCUGACGUGAAAUCCCCGGGCUCAACUUGGGAAUU